This 468-nucleotide ribosomal RNA is filed under the name uncultured bacterium. RNAcentral's name for it is "partial 16S ribosomal RNA". It matches the Rfam family "Bacterial small subunit ribosomal RNA", at positions 28 to 507 of the family's 1533-position model. The record is from RNAcentral.
GAUGAACGCUGGCGGCGUGCUUAACACAUGCAAGUCGAACGGAAAGGCCCUGCUCUUGUGGGGUGCUCGAGUGGCGAACGGGUGAGUAACACGUGAGUAACCUGCCCUUGACUUUGGGAUAACUUCAGGAAACUGGGGCUAAUACCGGAUAGGAGCUCCUGCUGCAUGGUGGGGGUUGGAAAGUUUCGGCGGUUGGGGAUGGACUCGCGGCUUAUCAGCUUGUUGGUGGGGUAGUGGCUUACCAAGGCUUUGACGGGUAGCCGGCCUGAGAGGGUGACCGGCCACAUUAGGACUGAGAUACGGCCCAGACUCGUACGGGAGGCAGCAGUGGGGAAUAUUGCACAAUGAGCGGGAGCGUGAUGCAGCAACGCCGCGUGCGGGAUGACGGCCUUCGGGUGAUAAACCGCUUUGGCCUGAGACGAAGCGUGAGUGACGGUAAUGGGUAAAGAAGCACCGGCUAACUACGUG